This 29-nucleotide non-coding RNA is filed under the name Mus musculus (house mouse). The record is from RNAcentral. Lineage: Eukaryota; Metazoa; Chordata; Mammalia; Rodentia; Muridae.
UGGACUUGCUUGGAUGUUACUCUAGAACC